CAAGCUGGAUUCUGGGACAAAGGUGA
RNAcentral lists this non-coding RNA (26 nucleotides) under Rattus norvegicus (Norway rat). The record is from RNAcentral. Lineage: Eukaryota; Metazoa; Chordata; Mammalia; Rodentia; Muridae.